AUACGGAGGAUCCGAGCGUUAUCCGGAUUUAUUGGGUUUAAAGGGUGCGCAGGCGGGAGAUUAAGUCGGCGGUGAAAUUUUGCAGCUCAACUGUAAAAGUGCCUUCGAUACUGGUUUCCUUGAGUGUGGAUGAAGUAGGCGGAAUUUGUGGUGUAGCGGUGAAAUGCUUAGAUAUCACGAGGAACUCCGAUUGCGCAGGCAGCUUACUAAACCACUACUGACGCUCAGGCACGAAGGCGUGGGGAUCAAACAGGAUUAGAUACCCUGGUAGUCCACGCAGUAAACGAUGAUUACUGGCUGUUUGCGAUACAAUGUAAGCGGCUGAGCGAAAGCGUUAAGUAAUCCACCUGGGGAGUACGUUCGCAAGAAUGAAACUCAAAUGAAUUGGCGGGG
RNAcentral lists this ribosomal RNA (393 nucleotides) under uncultured bacterium. Its description in RNAcentral is "partial 16S ribosomal RNA". It matches the Rfam family "Bacterial small subunit ribosomal RNA", at positions 523 to 918 of the family's 1533-position model. The record is from RNAcentral.